CCUACGGGAGGCAGCAGUGAGGAAUAUUGGUCAAUGGACGAGAGUCUGAACCAGCCAAGUAGCGUGAAGGAUGACUGCCCUAUGGGUUGUAAACUUCUUUUAUAAAGGAAUAAAACGAGGCACGUGUUCCUUUUUGCAUGUACUUUAUGAAUAAGGAUCGGCUAACUCCGUGCCAGCAGCCGCGGUAAUACGGAGGAUCCGAGCGUUAUCCGGAUUUAUUGGGUUUAAAGGGAGCGUAGAUGGGUUGUUAAGUCAGUUGUGAAAGUUUGCGGCUCAACCGUAAAAUUGCAAUUGAUACUGGCAGUCUUGAGUACAGUUGAGGUAGGCGGAAUUCGUGGUGUAGCGGUGGAAUGCUUAGAUAUCACGAAGAACCCCGAUUGCGAAGGCAGCUUACUAAACUGUGACUGACAUUGAUGCUCGAAAGUGUGGGUAUCAAACAGGAUUAGAUACCCUAGUAGUC
This 460-nucleotide ribosomal RNA is filed under the name uncultured bacterium. Its description in RNAcentral is "partial 16S ribosomal RNA". It matches the Rfam family "Bacterial small subunit ribosomal RNA", at positions 338 to 795 of the family's 1533-position model. The record is from RNAcentral.